Molecule: ribosomal RNA, 253 nt
Filed under: uncultured bacterium
Lineage: Bacteria
Description: partial 16S ribosomal RNA
Rfam family: Bacterial small subunit ribosomal RNA
Source: RNAcentral
UACGUAGGCAGCGAGCGUUGUUCGGAGUUACUGGGCGUAAAGGGUGUGUAGGCGGUUGUUUAAGUUUGGUGUGAAAUCUCCCGGCUCAACUGGGAGGGUGCGCCGAAUACUGAAUGACUAGAGUACGGGAGAGGAAAGUGGAAUUCCUGGUGUAGCGGUGAAAUGCGCAGAUAUCAGGAAGAACACCCGUGGCUAAGGCGGUUCUCUAGUACGGUACUGACGCUGAGACGCGAAAGCGUGGGGAGCGAACAGG